AUCCAGAGAAUUUAGCAGAGAUGCUUAGUGCCUUCGGGAACUCUGAGACAGGUGCUGCAUGGCUGUCGUCAGCUCGUGUUGUGAAAUGUUGGGUUAAGUCCCGNAACGAGCGCAACCCUUAUCCUUUGUUGCCAGCACGUAAUGGUGGGAACUCAAAGGAGACUGCCGGUGAUAAACCGGAGGAAGGUGGGGAUGACGUCAAGUCAUCAUGGCCCUUACGAGUAGGGCUACACACGUGCUACAAUGGCGCAUACAAAGAGAAGCGACCUCGCGAGAGCAAGCGGACCUCAUAAAGUGCGUCGUAGUCCGGAUUGGAGUCUGCAACUCGACUCCAUGAAGUCGGAAUCGCUAGUAAUCGUAAAUCAGAAUGUUACGGUGAAUACGUUCCCGGGCCUUGUACACACCGCCCGUCACACCAUGGGAGUGGGUUGCAAAAGAAGUAGAUAGCUUAACCUUCGGGAGGGCGUUUACCACUUUGUGAUUCAUGACUGGGGUGAAGUCGUAACAAGGUAGGCGUAGUGCU
This 523-nucleotide ribosomal RNA is filed under the name uncultured bacterium. Its description in RNAcentral is "bacterial SSU rRNA". It matches the Rfam family "Bacterial small subunit ribosomal RNA", at positions 986 to 1509 of the family's 1533-position model. The record is from RNAcentral.